GGCUGGCGCUGCCCUUUUUCUUCCCUCGGCCCCACCCCUCCGCGGCUCUGCGUCUUCCUGCUCCUCUGCCCCGCGCCCCGCGUAACCCGCCGCCGCCGGGACCCGGCCGAGUGCCCGCAGGGUCUGACCGAGGAGGCCUGGGGAGGUGGGGGACCCCACCUGGCCUCUGGGAGACCCGCGCGCGGAGGGAUCAGAGCACUCUGGCGGCCCGCAGUCCUGCCCAGCCCUCCUCUGUAUUGGGCUAGCACAGGGUGGCGCCACGCAGUGUUAACCAGUUGUCCGCACACGUCCUACAUUUCGUAGGGAGUUAUCACGUUCCCAGCUCUUGAGGAAUUAGAAUGCGAGUAUAUGGCAAGGAUGAGCCAGCACUUCCUUCCAGAGACUACACAGUGUUCCAGAGAGCUGAGCACAGGAGCCUGGCUUUGUACACAGAAAAUGACUGAAGAAAGCAAAAUCGAAAAGUAGAUUGGUCACUUCCAUUUCUUUCCUUGUGGGGUCGGGACAGAAUAAUAGAAAAAUAACUGAUUGGUUAACAUCAAGUUACUUCAGAAGCAAAAACAGUGGCAGGCACAGGAUAUUUGCUGAACACCAAUGCCUGUUGAAUGAAUGAAUGCCAAAUGAGAGGAUGAGCUAGACAGUCUCCCAAACCUGCUUUCAUCAUUAAGC
Long non-coding RNA from Heterocephalus glaber (naked mole-rat), 666 nucleotides. The record is from Ensembl. Lineage: Eukaryota; Metazoa; Chordata; Mammalia; Rodentia; Bathyergidae.